UACAAAGUAAUUGAAAAAGUAGCGUAACGUGAUUUGUUUGAGCAUAGGAGGAGUGGAAGCUUGUGGACUCGUAUAUAUGUAUGUAUACAUAUAUGCACACAUAGAUCGAUUUUGAAUUGAAAAAUUGUAACCCAAACUCCCUAUAAUAUCACACAGAAAGAGGAUGGGUGGCGCAGAGCAUGCGACUCGUCAGCGGAACUUAUAACAGCUACACAAGGGGCUCCAGGAAAACGGCUGCAUAAAUACUGCAUUCCAGACAGCAGUGGGAUUUCAAGAAACGAAAUAGCUGAUGAGAUUACCGAAAGUGCCAUCCGUCUGAUUAGCGAGACAGUACAGAAAAUAAGAAGGACGCUAAAAACGAAACAUAACCAAAUUUUCGAAAUGGCGAAUAUGCGAAUCAGGGAGAGAUGGAUUGACUUAAGAACAUACAGGAUCGCCAAGAUCAUGUGCGAGAUUUCCGAAAUAAAACACGCAAGAUUUUUUACUCACACGGUGUCGAAAGAACUGCAGAACGGUUGUUGGUCUAACUUUAGAAACUGCAGGACUGUAGGCAUGUCUAAAAUUCUCGUUUCUCGUAAAUUUCUCGGAGCUACGCAGUUCAAGCGAUUAUAAGUAAAAAGCAUCAAUGUAGUUGUUAAGCUUCUCCUUAAGUUCGCAAAAGCGUUGACGAGUUUAUGUAUGGCAUGGCAGCCGGCCAGUAUAGCUUAACCUAAUCCUAUAAUGUUACUCACAAAUCGGCACUCUACUCUUAGAAUUUCUAUAUAGGAAUGAUUUUAAAUAAGAUAAAGAACUUCGGUUCUUCAUGGACUUUGAACCUAUCUUUCAAGUUUUAUUGAGAUGCUUCCCAACUAUGCAAUCAAAGCAUUAAAUAGGUUUGAGAAUUGACAAUGAAACCAGUGAACGGAGUUGAAAAAAAUGUGGAUUUUGGUUAUAAAAUAAAAAUAAAUAAAAUAUAUUAGUUACAUUUAUUAGCGAAAGCUGCAAAUUUUAUGGUACAUACCUAUAUCAGUGGCGGAUUUGUCUCCAUUUCGUAUCCCAAAGAAAUGGAAAUUCUUAUUGACUGCUUGAUAGAUAGAUUCAAAGGCGUUUUGGCCUGAUCACUGGCAGUGCCAUUGGAAGCAAAGCCAAAAGUCAAAAGACAACAAGUUACCGACUACUGCAUUAGAAUCGUUGAAGAACUGCGUUGUAAUUCAUAGUUUUCUUCGAUAAUCUUCUCAUUUCCUAUGACGAAUGCGAGAGCUGAACGUUCUUUUUUAACACUGCGCAGCAUUAAAACAUGGCUGUGGACAAACAUGCUUCAAGAUAGAUUGAUCGGCCUAGCGUUGCGGUCACUGCUGAAGAAGUUCUCGAAGGAUUCUCAAAACUUGGCCCACAUUGCCCAGCUCACGCACGGACCAGCGUCGAUUAGUGAACACAACGACAGAAAAAUUCAACUUCUAUGUACGAAAGAUCCACAUUCAGAAGGGAAAAGAUUUUACUUUUCUGAACAUAAAAAUUGAUAUGGUCCCAUCGGAGGAAAUAAAUUGAGAAAUACUUUAUUCAGUGAUAAAGUAAAAAUUAAUAUUUACGGAAAUGAUUGUAAGUUAUUUGUCUGCCUGCCUAAAAGUAAAUAAUUUGAUGUAGAUACACCACAAAGGCAAUUAAAGAAGUGGAAAUAUAUUGUUUGGGAAUGCUCUCCUGGCAA
Bactrocera latifrons is the source of this 1684-nucleotide long non-coding RNA. RefSeq lists it as uncharacterized. The transcript is spliced from 2 exons. Lineage: Eukaryota; Metazoa; Arthropoda; Insecta; Diptera; Tephritidae. The record is from RefSeq and is a predicted model, not a curated record.